Molecule: ribosomal RNA, 450 nt
Filed under: uncultured bacterium
Lineage: Bacteria
Description: partial 16S ribosomal RNA
Rfam family: Bacterial small subunit ribosomal RNA
Source: RNAcentral
GUGGGGAAUUUUGGACAAUGGGGGCAACCCUGAUCCAGCCAUUCCGCGUGAGUGAAGAAGGCCUUCGGGUUGUAAAGCUCUUUCGGCAGGAACGAAACGGUGAGCUCUAACAUAGCUCGCUAAUGACGGUACCUGAAGAAGAAGCACCGGCUAACUACGUGCCAGCAGCCGCGGUAAUACGUAGGGUGCGAGCGUUAAUCGGAAUUACUGGGCGUAAAGCGUGCGCAGGCGGUUGUGUAAGACAGGUGUGAAAUCCCCGGGCUUAACCUGGGAACUGCGCUUGUGACUGCACGGCUAGAGUAUGGCAGAGGGGGGUGAAAUUCCACGUGUAGCAGUGAAAUGCGUAGAGAUGUGGAGGAACACCGAUGGCGAAGGCAGCCCCCUGGGCCAAUACUGACGCUCAUGCACGAAAGCGUGGGGAGCAAACAGGAUUAGAAACCCUGGUAGUCC